Non-coding RNA from Melanogaster broomeanus, 86 nucleotides. NCBI's taxonomy places the organism in Eukaryota, Fungi, Basidiomycota, Agaricomycetes, Boletales, Melanogastraceae. The record is from the annotation of a GenBank genome assembly.
UCGGAUAUGGUGUAAUGGCUAACAUUACCGCCUCUCAUUUGGUAAUGUCAUCGCGGUAGCUCGGGGUUCGAUUCCCCGUAUCCGAG